RNAcentral lists this long non-coding RNA (3389 nucleotides) under Piliocolobus tephrosceles (Ugandan red Colobus). Its description in RNAcentral is "lncRNA (ENSPTEG00000012528.1)". The record is from RNAcentral. Lineage: Eukaryota; Metazoa; Chordata; Mammalia; Primates; Cercopithecidae.
AAAAAAACAAACCAACGAUAAAUGUUGAAAAGAUUAACAGUGAUGAAAUAACAUUGAAGGUAUAUUUUGAAGAUGUGUAUACUCAGAGUGGUGAUGUAUUUAAGUGUACAUUGGAAUUAAUAGGCCCAAGUAAAUAUAUAGGGAAUAUAAAAAUAGAUUAUAUUGUUAUAUAUAUAUAUGGGGUAUACAUAUUAAAUAGUAAUAUACUAAAUGUGUGCUCUCCAUAUUUAUUAAAUAAACAGAUAAACAUUAAUACACCUUUUUAUAACAAAAAUGAUAUAACAAAUAAACAAAAGUAUUUAUUAUUUUAUUCUGAUCCUAUAUUGUUAUGUAGUGAUCUAAAAUUUGAAAAUUCAAAUGAAAAAUUCUAUUACUCGUUUGAAUGUUUUUUACCAUCGUUUAUUCCACCAGCAUAUAAUGGAAAAAAUAUAAAAAUAAAAUAUUAUAUGUACAUACAAUCUAUAAAAAGGUUAUUUAUGAAUAGAACUGAAGCCAUAACCAAAAUAAACGAAGGAAACAUACCCAUUAAUGUAGUAGCAUCAAAAUAUAAUAACAAUAGUAGUAGUAGUAAUAAUAAUAAUAAAAAAACUCAUUUAUUGUCUUUUUUGCAUUAUCCUAUUAAACCAUAUAAUAUUAAACUGGUUAAUAAAUUGAAUGAUGACUUUUUAUUUGCACACAAGUAUCAGUAUCCACAUGAAGGAAACUACGAUAAUCAACUUUACCAAAAAUACGAAUAUGACAGAACCAAUAAACAACAUGAACAAUACAUAAAAUAUAAAUACCUUUACCACAAUUUUCGUAUGAAAGUUACCAAUAUUGGUAAUAAAAACGUAGUAGUAGGUACAAAUGAAAAGAGUAAACAGAGCAGUGUCACUGCUACUGCUACUGCUACUGCCACUGCCACUGCUACUGCCACUGCUACUAAUGAUGCGACCUACAUGAAUAACAACACCCAGAUGACUUUCAAACAUUCUUCCAUUCCUUCAUAUAUAUAUAACAAUAUAUACAAGUCAAAUAUAGACGUUUUGGUUUGCAUUUAUAAUAUGUGUAAUCAAAAAAAAGAACAAUCGCCAUAUUUCUAUAUGCUAAACUAUAUAGUUAAUAAUUAUAAUUACUUUUAUUACUUACAUGUAUUUCUUUUUUUAUUAUAUCAUUAUUACUAUUAUAACAAUGUAAUACAAAAAAUUAUUAUUGUACCUUCUCAAAAUAAAAAUUUAACAUUAGAGUUAUAUCUUAAAAUCAUAAAAAAAAUGAACUAUUAUAAAAAUGAAAAGUUAAUUAAUCGUACGAAUGACAUUCUAUAUGCUGGGACGUUUUGUGACGACCGUACAUUUCCCAAAUUGCUACUUCCAUCGUCGUUAUGUAAGUCUUUAAAUGAAGGAUUAGUCUAUAUAAAUUCAAAAACGAAAAUUCCAGUACUAGUAAAAAAUAAAAGCAUAAAAAACGAAAAGAAAACAAAUAAUAACAAUAAUAAUAAUAAUAACAAUAAUAAUAAUAACAAUAAUAAUAAUAACAANNNNNNNNNNAACAAUAAUAAUAAUAACAAUAAUAAUAAUAACAAUAAUAAUAAUAAUAACAAUAAUAAUAAUAAUAACAAUAAUAAUGAUUGUGAUGAUAAAAAAUACAUUAACACUAAUAAAACAAAAGAUAAUUAUAACAAUAAUACAGCUGCAAGGAAUAAAAAAAAGGUAUAUACACAUACAAAUUCACAAAAUGGGUUAAAUAAUUAUAUAUUACAUGAUGAUAACGAAUUAUAUGAUUUUUUUUUUUGCAAAUAUGACGAAUUUUGUUUUAAUAAUAUAAAGUAUGUUCCUACUAGAUGGUUUGAUAAUUUGGUUAUAAAGAAAUGUGACUAUUCCCAUGACGAUGACAAAAUGCAGGCAGUACAGGAAGUUACGAUGGGUACUGCUUCUGGAGAGUCAGACGGGUUAGACGAGUCAGACGGGUUAGACGAGUCAGACGGGCUAGACGAGUCAGACGGGCUAGACGAGUCAGACGGGCUAGACGAAUCAGACAAGUCACUCGUUAUAUCGAACAAAACUGAUACAAUAAACACAACUAUUUUACCAAACAUAAAAAAUCACACCCCCAACAUAAUGACCACACAUAAUAAUGAAAAUCCCCAUACCAACACACAAAACAACAGUUUUUUAACUAUAAAAAAUACAACUAAAAUAAAUAAAAAAUCAGAUUCGAAUGGUAGACCAAAUAAACAAGUAACGUAUUAUGAUAAAGAAGUCGAAAAAAUGGAUAUAAUAAUAAAAAAUAUGUACAAAAAAAACUUAUUUAACUAUUUUAACACAAAAAAAAAAAUAAAGACAUUAUUAUCUGUACAUAGUGGUAAUACAAGUAGCAUCGAAAAAAAAGAAUAUAACGAUGGAAUCAAACAAAAUAUGCAAAAUAAGGAAAAUAAAAAAAUAAAAAAACAUGACAAAAACGUUUAUCGAAUUAAUAUGAAUAAUAAACAUAUUUGUUUAGUCACUCUUCUUGAUGGUAUGAAUAACAGAGUAACAAAUACAUUCCCUUCAGAUGGUGUUAUAAACAUUAAGUUUCAUUUUAAACAAAUAGACAUAUAUACAAUACAUGUUGAUAUAUGCUUAAAUAGAAAAGAAAAAAUUAAAAUAAAUAAUAACUUUUUGAAAUUAAUAAAAAAUAAUGCACUUGGUGAAGGUGAUGUUUUAGAAUAUGACCAGGAGCAAGAGCAGGAGCAGGAGCAGGAGCAGGAGCAGGAGCAGGAGCAGGAGCAGGAGCAGGAACAGGACCAGGACCAGUUCCAGGACCAGUUCCAGGACCAGUUCCAGGACCAUGAUGAUAAUAAAACAUUAGAACCUGCAUCUCCACCGACUUCAGAACCAGAAACAACAACAGCGACUCGCUUUGAACCUAUCACUCCAUAUAACACCAUAUCAAAUAAAAAAACACUUUUACAAAAAAAUAUAUCUACAUUAUAUUGUUCUGAAAAAAACGUAAAUAUUAUUUUAAAUGAUGAAAUAAUACCAACUUUUCAAAGUGAUGUACUACAAAUUGAAUAUUUUAUUGAUAUCAAUUUUUUUUGUAUGAACAGUCAAGCAAAAAAUAUGUUAGAUCUUUUUACAAAUAAUCAAAACUUUAACAAUGUUUAUAGUCUAAACAUUUGUAUUCCUAUUAAUGUUGUACAAAAACAAUACGAUAACUUAAAUCAUCAAAAUGAUACAGUCCCAUAUAUAUCUCUUUCGAAACAGGGCCAUUCAGAAAUAAACAAACACAUGUCUUCUUUAAAUAACAAGCAUAAGUAUACCUAUAUUGAUAAAAAUAUUCUUAUUAAAACUUAUGAAGUGUAAUAAUGUUCUCAGUGCAUGUAAACCAAAUGAAGAGCAAUUCUGUGAGUGUUAAAUGUUGAAGAGUGGUCA